Molecule: ribosomal RNA, 431 nt
Filed under: uncultured bacterium
Lineage: Bacteria
Description: partial 16S ribosomal RNA
Rfam family: Bacterial small subunit ribosomal RNA
Source: RNAcentral
AACGAACGCUGGCGGCAGGCCUAACACAUGCCAGUCGAGCGCCCCGCAAGGGGAGCGGCGGACGGGUGAGUACCGCGUGGGAAUAUGCCCUUUGCUACGGAAUAGUCUCGGGAAACUGGGGGUAAUACCGUAUACGCCCUUUGGGGGAAAGAUUUAUCGGCGAAGGAUUAGCCCGCGUUGGAUUAGGUAGUUGGUGGGGUAAUGGCCUACCAAGCCGACGAUCCAUAGCUGGUUUGAGAGGAUGAUCAGCCACACUGGGACUGAGACACGGCCCAGACUCCUACGGGAGGCAGCAGUGGGGAAUCUUAGACAAUGGGGGCAACCCUGAUCGAGCCAUGCCGCGUGAGUGAUGAAGGCCUUAGGGUUGUAAAGCUCUUUCAGCUGGGAAGAUAAUGACGGUACCAGCAGAAGAAGCCCCGGCUAACUCCGUG